AAGUCUUGACAUCCUGUUGACCGCUCUGUAAUGAGAGCUCCCCUUCGGGGCAACAGUGACAGGUGGUGCAUGGUUGUCGUCAGCUCGUGUCGUGAGAUGUUGGGUUAAGUCCCGCAACGAGCGCAACCCUUAUCUUUAGUAACCAGCACAUAAUGGUGGGGACUCUAGAGAGACUGCCGGGGAUAACUCGGAGGAAGGUGGGGAUGACGUCAAAUCAUCAUGCCCCUUAUGACUUGGGCUACACACGUGCUACAAUGGCUGUGACAAAGGGACGCAAGAGGGUGACCUUAAGCAAAUCUCAAAAAAGCAGCCCCAGUUCGGAUUGUAGUCUGCAACUCGACUACAUGAAG
This 350-nucleotide ribosomal RNA is filed under the name uncultured bacterium. RNAcentral describes it as "bacterial SSU rRNA". It matches the Rfam family "Bacterial small subunit ribosomal RNA", at positions 976 to 1325 of the family's 1533-position model. The record is from RNAcentral.